GAAGAGGCCAAACUCAGGCACCAGGAACGGGGUGAAGGGCUACAGUAGGAGGCCCUGCACCCCUUAGAAAGGGUUUUAUGAGAAGAUGAAAGCUCUCUGGCCCCCGGCGGUUGGAUGAAGGCAUCGCAAUCUUUGCUACUCCUCUGCGGCGAGCCUAGAGCAUAUUCUGAGUGACGUCAGUUUGGGGGAUCCAGAGAUUUCGGGCGCCCUUUAAGUACCAUGUUA
RNAcentral lists this long non-coding RNA (225 nucleotides) under Bos indicus x Bos taurus (hybrid cattle). RNAcentral describes it as "lncRNA (ENSBIXG00005007978.1)". Lineage: Eukaryota; Metazoa; Chordata; Mammalia; Artiodactyla; Bovidae. The record is from RNAcentral.